AGGAACAUAGAAUGCUUGGGAACUCUUUGUGCAUGGUGUCUAUAAUAUCUUCAAGUCCAUCUGAUAGAGUUGCAUUUUUGAAAGGAAGGUUGGACAAGAAAUUAAGUCUUUUUGCCAUAAUUUUGUGAGAUCCUCCAUUUUGUGGCACUAAAGAGCGUCCACAAACAUUGCAAAUGAAAGGCAGCUUGGAAUUGCUUAAAAAGUUCCUCUGCUUCUAAUUUUUAUAAGCAGAAAGAUCACAGACAAUGGUAAUCUCCAAGUUUAACUUAAGCAAGGUAUCUUAAAUUACUUCCCGUAAGAUCCCAAGAUUUUUGGUGCAAUGGAUGCAGUUUCACACCGGUUUUGCUUACUUUGUGUUAUAAGGUGUUAA
RNAcentral lists this long non-coding RNA (370 nucleotides) under Glycine max (soybean). Its description in RNAcentral is "long non-coding RNA (GMAX_LNC003077)". Lineage: Eukaryota; Viridiplantae; Streptophyta; Magnoliopsida; Fabales; Fabaceae. The record is from RNAcentral.